Molecule: transfer RNA, 76 nt
Filed under: Nostoc sp. NIES-3756
Lineage: Bacteria; Bacillati; Cyanobacteriota; Cyanophyceae; Nostocales; Nostocaceae
Description: tRNA-Arg
Rfam family: tRNA
About the family: Transfer RNA (tRNA) molecules are approximately 80 nucleotides in length.
Source: RNAcentral
UGGGCGCGUAACUCAGUUGGAUAGAGUAUCCGCCUUCUAAGCGGACUGUCGCAGGUUCAAGUCCUGCCGCGCCUGU